ACGGAGGGUGCAAGCGUUAUCCGGAUUCACUGGGUUUAAAGGGAGCGUAGGUGGGAUGGUAAGUCAGUGGUGAAAUCUCCGGGCUCAACUCGGAAACUGCCGUUGAUACUAUCUAUCUUGAAUACCGUGGAGGUGAGUGGAAUAUGUCAUGUAGCGGUGAAAUGCUUAGAUAUGACAUAGAACACCGAUUGCGAAGGCAGCUCACUACACGAAUAUUGACUCUGAGGCACGAAAGCGUGGGGAUCAAACAGGA
RNAcentral lists this ribosomal RNA (253 nucleotides) under uncultured prokaryote. RNAcentral describes it as "partial 16S ribosomal RNA". It matches the Rfam family "Bacterial small subunit ribosomal RNA", at positions 525 to 777 of the family's 1533-position model. The record is from RNAcentral.